RNAcentral lists this transfer RNA (88 nucleotides) under Candidatus Pullichristensenella excrementigallinarum. RNAcentral describes it as "tRNA-Leu". It matches the Rfam family "tRNA". Rfam says of the family: Transfer RNA (tRNA) molecules are approximately 80 nucleotides in length. Their secondary structure includes four short double-helical elements and three loops (D, anti-codon, and T loops). The record is from RNAcentral. Lineage: Bacteria; Bacillati; Bacillota; Clostridia.
GCCGGUGUGGUGGAAUAGGCAGACACCCGGGACUUAAAAUCCCGUAUUCGUUUCGAAUGUGCGGGUUCGAUCCCCGCCACCGGCACCA